Acanthosepion pharaonis is the source of this 106-nucleotide non-coding RNA. Lineage: Eukaryota; Metazoa; Mollusca; Cephalopoda; Sepiida; Sepiidae. The record is from the annotation of a GenBank genome assembly.
ACAUCGGGUUGAAACACCGGCUCCCUUACUAUCGCUGAAGUUAAGCAACAUCGAAUCUGGUUAUUAUCUGGAUGGGUGACCGAUUGGGAAUACUAUGUGCUGUAAG